GUCUUUUUGAGUUAAUUUUAAAGUCUAACCUGCCCAAUGAAAAAUAAAUUAAAUGGCCGCAGUAAUUUGACUGUGCAAAGGUAGCAUAAUAAUUAGUCUUUUAAUUGAAGGCUUGUAUGAAUGGUUGGACGAAGUAUAAUCUGUUUCAUUUAAAUUUAUUAUAUAAUUUUAUUUUUUAGUAAAAAAGCUAAAAUUUUUUUAAAAGACGAGAAGACCCUAUAAAUCUUUAUAGUUUAAAUUUUUUUUAUUUUUUAGAUUUUUUUUAUUUUAAUAAUUUGAAUUAUUUUAUUGGGGUGAUAUUAAAAUUUAAUUAACUUUUAAUUUAUUUUAACAUUAAUUUAUGAUUUAUUGAUCCAUUAAUAGUGAUUAUAAGAAUAAGUUACUUUAGGGAUAACAGCGUAAUUUUUUUGGAGAGUUCUUAUUGAUAAAAAAGUUUGCGACCUCGAUGUUGGAUUAAGAUAUAAUUUUAGGUGUAGUUGCUUAAAUAAUAAGUCUGUUCGACUUUUAAAUUCUU
This 514-nucleotide ribosomal RNA is filed under the name Dectodesis augur. RNAcentral describes it as "partial 16S ribosomal RNA". The stretch from base 390 to 514 matches the Rfam family "Bacterial large subunit ribosomal RNA", at positions 2473 to 2597 of the family's 2925-position model. The record is from RNAcentral. Lineage: Eukaryota; Metazoa; Arthropoda; Insecta; Diptera; Tephritidae.